CAAACACGUCUCAAUACACAGUAGCUUUUAGAUACAGUAAUACUAAACUACCUCAUCUUCUCCAGCUAAUCAUAACCCUAACCAUUGCCGGCAACCACCGCCUCCCACCGGCGCCGUUCCCUUCUCAGCCUCUCUCAACUUCCCACGGCCACCGCCCCUCCCCAGCCUACUCCCCCUCCCGCCACUGCUUUCUCCUCUAGGAGAUUGAAACCCAGAUGAUGAAAUGAGGUUUCUUCAAGCAGAGAGAUGGGAAGUUUCUGAAGGUGGUUGCCUCUCUGUAAUCUGUACGAUACAGAAAAAGAAGCCCAGGAUUUCAUCUUCAUCUCUAAAUUUCAACAACCCUUUGGGUGUGUGAGUUUGUUGAGGUUGAUCUUUAUGUAACGAAUGAUAAACCAUUUAACAGUCCACCAUUUUCACUUCAACAUUGCUACCAUUAGUAUUGAAACAGAUGUAGCAUUGCCAACUGCAAUCAUUAGACCUUUGGAUGAUUCAAUCUCAAUAGAUCCAAGUGAGAUCUCUUGUACUAGGGACAAUGAGGUGGCUUACAAUCGUUUCAGCUUCAUCGUCAUUCAAAUUUAUUUAGACUUGUCCAGGAGAUAUGGUUGUAGCCAUUGGCCGCUCCUGUGGUAGAACCCAUGCGCUUAUGGCUGCACCUGGCAAAUUCAGUCUUGACUGCUGCAAAUUUGAUUGCAAAGAGCUUUUCAGGGCAAAUUGCAUUAUUACAAAAAGUGGUAUCGGGGGACCCCUUAUCAAUCGUUAUGGAGAAGUCAUUGGAGUCAAUUUUUACGAUGAUGUUUGUACCCCUUUUCUGCCGAUCAAUAUUGUUUCCAAAUGUUUGUUGUGAUUUAAAAAAAAUGGGAAAUCCCGUCGACCUUGGCAUGGCAUGGAAAUGACUAAUCUUUAUGCGGCAAGUGUAGGCAAGUUGGAAAAGAUUAUCUCGAAGUUCAAUAUCUCCAAAGGUAUUCUUGUUGAAGAGAUCCAGAUAGUGAUUACUUUACUUUAAAAAUGCAUCACGGGGGAACAUUUAUAUGUAAUCCAGAUAGGUUAUAUGUGGUGGGGGGAAGAAACAUAGUCAAAUACUUUGACUACUGCAAAGAUGAUUACAUGAGUAUGUUAUACAUCGAGGAUUUGGUGGAGAAAUUGGAUCGUAUUGGAAGCAUGUCAUAUUACUACAGAAUGCCUGAUAAAGAUCUUACUAGUGGGCUAGUCAAUGUAAGGAAUGACAAUGAGGUGAUGGGUAUGCUGAAAUUCUUAAAUAGAAAUAGGCAAAUUGAUUUCUAUUUGGAACACUAUCCUAAAACACAACCUAGUUCAAUACUGAUUGAUGACAUUGAUGAGUUGUUUGGAGGUCAAGACGAGUUUCAUAGGUAUAUGGAUGUAGUAGAAGCUCAGUUCCAAAAGAAUGGUGGUGGAGAAGCUGAGUUAGAGUAAGGUAAGGGUGUAGCAGAAGUUAAUGAUUUGUUUGAUAGUGGAUAUGAUGAAGGUUCUCAGACAGAGUCCACAGAUUUGGAGGACUAUGAGGAUAGUGAAAUUGAUGAAAGUGAAGAUGACAUGCUAUUUGAAACUCAUGUGGAUAGAAAUGUGGAAUGGGGUGGUUUAAUGAGGAAUAAUGUGACUGAUGAAGCUUGUACUCAUGAAGCUGGGGUUGGUUUAACCAACAAUCAAGCACAAGUUGAAGAGAGGUGGGAGGAUGAGUCAGCUUUAGAUGAGCUUAGAAGCAUUGAUUCAUCAACUGAAGGUGAGGAUAAUGGAAAAGAAGAAAGAAAGGUACCCUCAAUUUAAUAUGUAUACAGAUAUGGUUGAGCCCCAAUUUAAAUUUGGGAUGUUGUUUGGGACUUCCAAAAUCUUCAAAGAUGCUGUCAGACAGCAUGCUAUAAAGACUGAAAAAUCAGUUAAGUUUGUGAAAAAUGACAGCCUUAGGGUGAGAGCUACCUGUAAACCUCCAUGCAAGUGGGUCCUUUUUGCGUUUAAAGUUCAACGGGGAAAUAGUUUUCAAAUCAAAACCUACCACCCCACACACAAUUGUGGCAGAGUUUUCCAUAAUAGACAAGUCAAUUCAACUUGGUUGUCCAAGUACAUGGAGACACUUAAGACCAACCCUACAUGGCCGUUGUCUUCUUUCCAACAAGCUGUGCAGGUGGACCACAAAGGUGGGGUCUCAGAGUCGACUUUAUAGGGCCAAGAGGAAAGCACAAGAGCUGAUUGAGGGCAGCCAUCAGGAACAAUAUGCAAAUCUGUGGGAUUAUUGUGAAGAAAUUAGAAGAUCAAAUGUUCAUGAGAUUCAGCUAGAGGAUGAGGAUGAGGACGAGGACGAUGUAGGGAAGUCCAGAUUUGAAAGGAUUUAUGUAUGUUUGGGGGCUUUUGAGCAAGGCUUCAUUGCACGUUGUAGGCUAUAUAUUGGAGUGGAUGCUUGCCAUUUGAGAGGUCCUUACAAAGGGCAGUUGCUUCAAUCUGUGGCCAUUGAUGGUAACAAUAACACUUUUCCAGUAGCUUCUGUUGUAGUGGAAGGGGAAACAAAAUCCUCAUGGAAGUGGUUUAUAUGAAGAAGUUGCAAAGGUCAACCAGUUGAAGGCAAUGCUAUAAGGCCAAAGUUACCUGUGAGGAAGAAUAAUAGGUCAAGUCAAGUUGAAAUACCUCCAAUGGCUACUGACCAAAACAUGGCAAGGAGGAGUAAGGCAAAGGUAGCUGUUGCAGAAGGUAGUAGCAAGGGCGCCAGGGCGAAGAUAGCAGCUGCAAGACCUAGUGGCAGUCAACCAAGCAUGGGCACCAGUUCCAUGUGUUUGCUAUUUAUACUUUGAUGAACACCGUUUUGGUAUUGGCAUGGGUUCCAGUGCUCCAUUUUUGUGGCCAUGGGUUCCAGUCAUAGAUCUAAAUAUCCGUACUGGCCGAUUCGUACCGGAAAAUCGAACCACCGAUUCGGAUAUAGACCGGUAUAGCGGUGGGAAUGAAAUUCGCAGCCGUAGUGUUUGAGUCCCGGUACGUGCCGGCCUGAAUCUGAUACAUACGGCGAUACAGUCCGAUACACAUUGGUUGUCGCCGGUACGGAUGAGAAUCAGCGCAGAAAACCUGCAAGAUAUAAGCUUCUUUGGGCUGUGGAGUUCACUUCGAUCUUCAAGCUUCUUCAGAGAAGGGUACUUUCUUCAAGCCAAGGCCAUACCCCUUGAUCAACUGAGAAAGUGUGGAUGGAUUGCUAGCUGGAGAUUUUUUAUGCAUCCAUUAUUGCCACAAAAUCCCUUGGUCUUUGCCAUCGGAACCCUAGGUUGUUGUCGAAGCCCUUGGAUCAAGCAAGAGUACAAGCAGCUGCAGAAGCACUUUGCAAGAAGUUUCAUCCGGGGGCUUUCUAUGAAAUCAAUUGACUCAAGGGGGUGAAACUGCUCGCCUUUGAAGCAUAGCCUGCUCGGGCUUUGACUGAGCUUUGUCAUAGCUGCGUCAGGCAGCCUUUCUACUGGGGAUUCAGAUGGUGGGUGGGUGGGUGACACUAGAAUUGCAACAGGGGAAAGGUUUUUUAUUUUUAUUUUUAUAAUAAUUAAGAAAAAAAUUAAAAAUAGAAAUAAGGUUCUCAGAAUCUCAAUGUUUUAUAUGUAGUGAAUGAUAUAUGGUUGUAAACAAUAGCAAUUGCAUGAAUAUCUUAAUUAGCAGACAGGUCAUUCUGAUACACUUGGUUGGAUUUGCAAUUCCAGAUAGAAUGAACACACCUUUUUUAGUGUAUGGCUAAAUUAGUCAAUUAAUUUGAUCACUACGUAUCUAUU
Molecule: non-coding RNA, 3749 nt
Organism: Camellia sinensis
Lineage: Eukaryota; Viridiplantae; Streptophyta; Magnoliopsida; Ericales; Theaceae
Source: RefSeq, a predicted model, not a curated record